AGCAGCCGCGGUAAUUCCAGCUCCAAUAGCGUAUAUUAAAGUUGUUGCAGUUAAAAAGCUCGUAGUUGAAUUUCGGGAUCAAUAUGUCGGUCGUGCUUUUUGGUACGUACUGGCGUCAUUGGUUUCUCCUUUCUGACGAACCAUGAUGUCAUUAAUUUGGUGUUAUGGGGAGUUAGGACUGUUACUUUGAAAAAAUUAGAGUGUUUAAAGCAGGCUCACGCUUGAAUACAUUAGCAUGGAAUAAUGAAAUAGGACGUAUGAUCCUAUUUUGUUGGUUUCUAAGAUUGACGUAAUGAUUAAUAGGGAUAGUUGGGGGCAUUAGUAUUCAAUUGUCAGAGGUGAAAUUCUUGGAUUUAUUGAAGACUAACUACUGCGAAAGCAUUUGCCAAGGAUGUUUUCAUUAAUCAAGAACGAAAGUUAGGGGAUCGAAGACGAUCAGAUACCGUCGUAGUCUUAACCAUAAACUAUGCCGACUAGGGAUCGGAUGAUGUUAAUUUUUUAAUGACUCAUUCGGCGCCUU
This 520-nucleotide ribosomal RNA is filed under the name uncultured Glomus. RNAcentral describes it as "SSU rRNA". It matches the Rfam family "Eukaryotic small subunit ribosomal RNA", at positions 569 to 1089 of the family's 1831-position model. The record is from RNAcentral. Lineage: Eukaryota; Fungi; Glomeromycota; Glomeromycetes; Glomerales; Glomeraceae.